RNAcentral lists this ribosomal RNA (500 nucleotides) under uncultured bacterium. RNAcentral's name for it is "partial 16S ribosomal RNA". It matches the Rfam family "Bacterial small subunit ribosomal RNA", at positions 30 to 523 of the family's 1533-position model. The record is from RNAcentral.
AUUGAACGCUGGCGGAAUGCUUUACACAUGCAAGUCGAACGGCAGCACGGACUUCGGUCUGGUGGCGAGUGGCGAACGGGUGAGUAAUGUAUCGGAACGUGCCCAGUCGUGGGGGAUAACGUAGUGAAAAUUACGCUAAUACCGCAUACGAUCUAUGGAUGAAAGCGGGGGAUAGCAAGACCUCGCGCGAUUGGAGCGGCCGAGAUCAGAUUAGGUAGUUGGUGGGGUAAAGGGCCACCAAGCCAACGAUCUGUAGCUGGUCUGAGAGGACGGCCAGCCACACUGGAACGGAGACACGGUCCAGACUCCUACGGGAGGCAGCAGUGGGGAAUUUGGGACAAUGGGCGAAAGCCUGAUCCAGCCAUUCCGCGUGCAGGAUGAAGGCCCUCGGGUUGUAAACUGCUUUUGUACAGAACGAAAAGGUUUCUACUAAUACUAGGAGCUCAUGACGGUACUGUAAGAAUAAGCACCGGCUAACUACGUGCCAGCCGCCGCGGUAA